CGCACAGUCCUCAUGCCAGCCUUUGCUGUGACUGGCAGCGGCCCGGCCCCAAUCAGCGCUCAGCGCUCCCCGGGUGCAGCCAAUAGAUGCCUCCAGAAAGGGAGUAACAGGGGCUGGACCAGACUUGAAUUGAACCCCCUUUCCUCCUCCCUUAACACUUCCCCCCGCCCUAUGGGAGCCGUGUGUGGUACUGUAGAUAUGUGCGCUGGGUAUUGCAUAACCAGCUGGGGGAGAGAGGAGGGGGGCUGCUGACAUUUACGUAAUUAUCCAGCGGCGAGCCAGAGGCCAGAGUUAAGGUGGAGACUUUCCUUGCGUCUUUUGAUUAGUGACUCUGCCAGCAGCACUGUAGUGACCCCGGAGCUUGCACAGAGCUCGCGUGUAAACAGCUGUUGUUGUGGCGCAGGCGUGAAGGACCGCGGAGAAGAGACGGAAGAUGCCCCGCUGGCUGGCUGCACUGGGCUGCGCAGAUAAACACGCCGCCUGCUUCUCCUACCCCGGGAGAAGCGGGGAAGGGCGCUAGGAGCUUCACACGCGCGCGCUGGGGAAAGGGAGCCCCGGGUACCUCCCCCGCGACUGGAGCCCUUGCGGGGGCAGCGCUAUGAAAAACGUGGAAGCCUUGAUGCUUCAAGAUGCACCAAGUUUGGAUUAAACAUCACAGUAAAUUCUUUGGGGGCAGCCCGGACUGAUAUUCUGAGAUGGAUCCACUAGUUAAGACCCACCAAAUCGAUUGCAGAUCGUUCUCCUAUAGACACUGUUUGUUCUACCCCGAGAAGAAACAUAAGGGAAGUCGAUGGGAAAGUUUAUCGUCAGCUUCCUGCAGUAUAGAGCCCAUGGUAACUCAGCUUAAGGUACCUUGACUCCAGCUAUGUUAUUCAUGUACCUGGAUAUGCAUAGAUUAAAUUGACUUUCUAUUGU
This is a non-coding RNA of Pelodiscus sinensis (Chinese soft-shelled turtle), 915 nucleotides long. NCBI's taxonomy places the organism in Eukaryota, Metazoa, Chordata, Testudines, Trionychidae. The record is from RefSeq and is a predicted model, not a curated record.